RNAcentral lists this transfer RNA (72 nucleotides) under Capra hircus (goat). It matches the Rfam family "tRNA". From Rfam's summary of the family: Transfer RNA (tRNA) molecules are approximately 80 nucleotides in length. Their secondary structure includes four short double-helical elements and three loops (D, anti-codon, and T loops). The record is from Rfam by way of RNAcentral. Lineage: Eukaryota; Metazoa; Chordata; Mammalia; Artiodactyla; Bovidae. RNAcentral also lists the same sequence under 1 other name.
UCCCUGAUGGCUUAGACGGUAAAGCAUCUGCCUACAAUGAGGGAGACCCAGGUUCAAUCCCUGGGUUGGGAA